Molecule: ribosomal RNA, 3583 nt
Filed under: Triticum aestivum (bread wheat)
Lineage: Eukaryota; Viridiplantae; Streptophyta; Magnoliopsida; Poales; Poaceae
Description: partial small subunit ribosomal RNA
Source: RNAcentral
UCUGUUUGAAAAGGGGAAGGAGAGAAGAGGAACGGCUGCUUCGUAGGAGGAGCGCCAAAGAGUGUCAGUGUACUCAGAGCAGGGGGGUUUUUUACUAACUUUAAUCUUUUAGUUAAUUCUUAUGGGCAUUUAAUGGUUUGUGCGCGACGGUGGCUGGCUAGCUCGGUGGCUGGGGGUCUUCAAGGUGGUUUUAAGGGGCAGCUGGUGUCGUCGCCUCCCCGAGGUCUAGAGCGGCCGCGCCCGUGGCCGCCUGCUCUACAGCGAGUUGUACUUCUGCGACGUCGUCCGCGACCGGUUCCGCAGCCGCCACUAGCUCUUCUGCCACUGGUGGUGCCACGUCCUCCAGUGCCCGGGCGCCGGCGACGUCCUGAUGCUCGACGAGCUGGUCCGCCCGAGCCCGCCGGGCCCCGAGCGCACCGCCUAGAUGUGCCGCGCCGGCGCCCUGCGCCGCCGUAGGUGCGGCAUGGGGCAGCAGAGGCAAACCCACGAGCUGUUCGCGCGCGAGAGGCUCCGCGCCCGCGCCCGGCCCGAGAGGUCCCGCCGCCUCCUGCGCAAGGAGCUGGAGCGUGCGCGACUGCGGCGCGCGGAGCACGCCGACGCAGUAGGCCCACACGAGGUGCAGCACGUCCGCGAACUGCUCUGGUUCCGGCGGUACCGGUACCAGUGACUCGGCGAGAAGCGGAGGCAGAGGUUGCGCGAGCCCACGGAGCUGUUGCACCCGUUCCACGGGUUCCUCGAGUUCCCGUACCUUUACCCCUAUGACCUCUAAUUUGUACCUAACGAUGUUCAACGUCUCUGCAACCUAAAAGAGGUAUUGUUACGGGUAGAACGUGUAGCUCGAUAUAGUGGACUCUGCCAGAAAUAUUGAAGUUCACCUAGAACCUUCGAACCUCCAAAACCAAAACGAGAAAGACAACUGGUUCGGUGUCCACCAAACCGUAGUAGCGUCGUUAAGGUAAUAAGCCUGAUGCUACAGCUUCUGUGUCGAAAUGGAGAAGUUGGUAGAGACUUGAUAUGACGUGGUCUUAACCAAGCGUCACCACUAAGAUUUCAUCCGAGAUGGACACUGUAUAAGUCAAAACCUACGGACCGAAUGGUGAAUCAACGAGUAUCUGGUGAAGACCUAACGGUAUUGUUACACUUUUACAUAUACUUAAGUAACUGUAUAAAUUGUUCACUUCGGAAAAGAUCAUAAGGAUGACUAGACCACCGACUAAACGCUUUAUACGAUAGUCAACUACGUCGUAGUGCGGGAUCACGCUACCGAAAGUGUCCGAGAAGAAAGAAGGCCGUACUAUGUUCCAACGCUCGAGAAGCAAAGGAACUGGUAAACGAACUCUCUCUAUUAUACGUCUUCUGUCUUAAAGACUUUCGUAAUAGCCUAUACACCUUUCUGAAACUAAGGGCUCAAGAAGCUAUAUUUCAAGAAGGUGGAGAAACACGGCUCGAUGCGUUGUACCAGUACGUCGUUUACUAAAACGGGUACCAAGACUGUUAUCGUCUUAGUGUCCUAUUUCUACUGAAACUCGACAGUUGUAACGGACGAGAACAAGGUCAUAAAUGAAGUCGUAGUCCACUUUGAGAAGAAAACGAACACUUCGCACGGCUAGAGUAAUAAUCGUUCCUUCUUCAAAACGCUGCUUGUCAUUGUGACAGAGCUGUUGAACUGUACUUCGAUGACUUUGUCAGACACGACGGUGCGCACGUACCUAAUCGAAACUUUUGAUGUCAACGACGCCACGCUCAUUUACGAAACGCGACAAAUCCUCUAGAACAAGGUAGCAACCUAUUUUGUCCAUAUCAUCUCUAGAACGUCUGAGAAGCCGCAACGUGUCGACAACUGGUAAGACGGGGUUGGGAAUACACGUGGGAACCUCAACGAUUACGCUAAAUAUUUGUCACACCACAACUCAAACGACGCCUCGUACACCAAGGAGAUCAGAAGGGUAACGAGUGCCGUGUUGUUGACUUACAUGUCGUUAAACGGUUCAUAUAGGAUAAACAGUUCCUAUAGUGUUCGUUCUAACUUCUCUUCGCACCACACUGUCAAUGCCUAUUACCCGUAUGUCUCCAUUUUCAUAGCGGAAGUUAGAGUUUACCCUAAGUAAGAUUCGGUUGAAGUCCUCCGGACCCUGUUUGACCUGUUUACGGUCGACGUUUCUCGUGAAGAACCCUACUUCUGACCCCGGGAUGAUUCUUUUGGUCACGGGGCGGUGAGAGAAAACUAAGAUCACGAGUUUGUUUCGUUGGGAGUUUUCUGGGAAAACUAAAGUCAUGGGUUUGUUUGGUUGGGAGUUGUGAAGGGAAGCUAGAAUCAUGAGUUUGCUUCGUCGGUAACUGUCAGUGAGUCCAACGUCGCAGAUGUUAGGGCAGACGUGUUGGUGAAGGUAGAGACGUUAGAGAACGUGGAUCAAGUCCUGUAGUUUGAAGGCCAAGUACACAAGGACAACUGUAACUCACCGGAGGAUCUUACUCGUGUAGUAGACUGAAAUUACGUGGUAAGAGUCGAUUGUUCCUAUCAUUUAGACCUCCCGACAGAUUGCUACCCCAACUACUACAACUAGGAAAACGGCUGACCGGGGGGUUUGGUUCGUCACGUCGGUCGUAAAGUCGUCACCUCGCGGACGGUUCGUGUUUAGUUUCAUAAAGACCCAACUUAUGUCCCUUGUACCCCAAACCACCACCGUCAUGAAGCGAACCUGUUUACUUUUGUUUGGUCCACUCGACCAGUCGCUUUGGUUUGUUAUGUUUAUAUUACCCGUACUUAAGUUGACGGUCGAUAAACUUGGUUCCGUUGAGUAGAGACCCUAUACCUUUAGGUUAACCUCCUGGUUCGAGUCCAGAGAGGUUACGUCGAUCAAGGUAACGUCCGGUCUCGUAGUCCGUUGGUUUUAGACUAAAACCAAGUGAUAGUGUCAAUAGGUCACCGUGUGUCCCGGGUGGGUCCGAACGGGGAGGAGGUAGACGACGACAACCUUCUCCCGCACCAUCUUUAGUUCCCGUCAGUCGGGAGAGGGCUCGUAGUGCCUGAGGGUUAAGGUUACAAAGUAGUCUCGUCGGUGGAAAAGAACUAAAUGACAUCGUUUAUGUCCCCUCAGGUACAAGAAGCAAGACGUCUGCCGUGACCUAUCGAGUGUAGCAAGUUCGGAACAUAUACUACUCGUAAUGUGAAAGGACUUUGUACCAACGUCCGCUAUCACGUAAAAGAACAGUCACCUUUGACCCAACGGAAACAACAAUCGGGGUUCCUUCGACGAAGUCCUUUCUCGGAAGGACUCCGAGACGACAUUACAGAUCUCAAGUGUUUACCAACACCACUACACUUUAAAACUUACAACUCUUACAUGGUGGUCUUAGACUACCCGGAGCACUUUCACCUUUGGGAUGUGCUUACAUAAGUAAAUACGGCCCAUCCCGGGUACAGCACAUUAACGGUUUAAACCCGGGUAGACAUGGAGACGGACCUUUUACACACACCUCUGUGAACAAUUUACGAGGUGAUCAAAGAACAUAACACUAAUAAUGACAGCUUCAUUUAUACGAAUAAAAGCGUGUAACGGUAGUUUCACUUUUACGAAUAAAA